Molecule: non-coding RNA, 9280 nt
Organism: Delphinapterus leucas (beluga whale)
Lineage: Eukaryota; Metazoa; Chordata; Mammalia; Artiodactyla; Monodontidae
Source: RefSeq, a predicted model, not a curated record
CCCAGCGCGCAGGCACCGCCCGUCGGUCCGCUACCUCCGUGACUGCGGACGGACAGCGGUGUCUCCACCUGGAGGCGGGGGAAGCUGUCCGCCCGUUCCGGCCUGCAGCGUCCAGGUGGGAAGCCGGUUAUUCAGGUUUCGCUAGAAGAAAUUCACUCUGGCCGGACCGGAAGUCACUUCACGUCCCAUUCCUGACAGGGCUGCUGCUGGUGACAGAUCCUGGGACCUCUAACAUAAGCCGGCAGAAGAUGAGAAUUCGACCGGUUAGUCUCCCAGAUUUCUGCCUGUAGUAUCAAAUAAACGAGAAUGGUCACAGCUUGGUCACUGAGUGCUCUAAGAAGGCUGCCUUGAACCACCAACAAUGGGUCAGGAUCUUGUACCUGAGAUGGCUGGUUGAUUUUCUUCCGAAAAGACUAUAGAGUUACAGCAGUGUACAGGGAGGUAUCUACCAAAUAAUGCAUGGCAAAAUGAGGAGGCAACUGACAAGCGAAGAGUUUGCGCAGUGGAGAACCACCCUGACCGUCUCUUGACUUUACAGGGAUCGUAGGUGGGACUCCAGGAUCUAUAACUGCCUUCUCACUUUGGAAUCCAAGGCCACCCUGUGAGUGGCAUCUAAAUCUUGCCAGUGACCUUCCUGUACAGGCCCAAGCUCCAUCUCUGACUCUCUCACCAUUUAAGCUGAAGCAUGAUAUGACAGAACCUACAGGGCGAGAAAAGAAGGAAUGCAGGUUAUACAAAAGAGGACUACCAAACACAGACCACAAUUUCAAGCCUGAGAUUCUGCUAAAACUUCCUGCAGAGACAGCUAGACUCUUCAGAACAUCAUAUCUUGUUUGCUGCUUUCUUCAACAGAGAGAAAAUCCCAGACUUUGAUUCAAAUGCUUAUUACGGAAACAGAAAGUUAUACUCCCUAUGUUCAAAGAAAACUGUCACUUUUCCUCUGACAUUGUUGAUAUAACAAACACAUUAUUUAUAAGACAUUAGGUCAAACUUGGCAGAAAAUUUUGGGUCACUUUCUUUUAAAAAAAACUGACUUCAGUUAUUUUUACUUGUGUACAGAAUCAAGAUAAAAGACCUCUGCAUAAACUGACAUUUUAACGUUGAUAUUUGGAAAGAAAGUAGCCUAGAAGUGGCUCUCAGAUGAAGUAUGUAACCACUGCAGAAUUCAUAAGGAAAAACUGCACAGCGGAGAUAUAAUGUCACACAGACUCAAGGAUCCUUUUACACUCAUAUGAUUCAAGAACUGAGAAGAGUAGGGCUGGUCUAUAAAUCUAUCCAUUAACAGCUGAGGACACCUAGGCUCAGGAAUCCUCAUGACUUGGCUGUGAGCUCACACCCAGUGAGAAGACAAGAGGGCCUAGAACCCAGCUUUCAACUCCCAAUCUAGUACACUUCCCAUCACCCUAGUGAGUUAAGUUGUAAGAAGAUGGUAAGGCAGGUUUACUGUCUUCUUAUAACUUAACAUGAGAAUCAUUCAUUCCCAUUUUCAAAAGUGAUAACUUUUAAGUAAUGGAAUAAUAUUUUAGACAUUCUUUUAAACCAAGGUAGUGAUUGCAUUUUAAACUAUCAUAUUUUAAAAACACAUUUUUAAAACUUCAUUUUUGACAGAGUCAACACAGAUUUACUAAAAUCCCUCAAAGUUUUAAAAUCAGUGAUAAAAAGGUAUCCCAUGUUCAGACUUUAAAUGGUGAGCCAAGUAAUUCAGCAACCCAAACUAGUUUCCCUUGAACUAGUUUUUAAAAUUUUAAGCAAUUCAAAAUCUAAAGCCAAAUGGUACACACAUCUACUAUCUUGUGAUUCAGAAUGCUAUAAUACUGUGAUACGCCUGAUUUGUCUUAGUGUUUGAACCAUUAAUCACUAGGAAACCUCAGGAACCUUGGAGUUGCUGUCUCCUGCUCCUGUGAAAUGGACAGGUCAUGGCUAAACUGCUGCUGACAGCACAGAGGUGGUUUGUUGAGAAAGGCUAAGGCUAUGACCAUGAAUUCAUCUAAUAUAAAUCAGUGCAAUGCAACAUGGAUAAGUGAAGAAAGGAAUAACAUGACAUUCUAAGUUAAAAAAAUUAAUUUCGUCACACACUGAAGAUAAAAAUAGCACCUUACUCGUAGGGUUGUAUGGAUUAAUUUUGUUAACACAAGUGAGAACACAGAGUAAGCAUUUGAUAAAGGUUAGCUAUUAUUGUUGUUGUUUUACUGUCAUUAUAAUGAUGUUUUCCAGGUCAAAAUAAUUCCCUGUCAUAAGAAAACAUGAGGGGUUCAUGUCCUUAGCUUUUAUCCAAUACAUCAGAAGAAAAAAUUUUUUCAAGGUUAAACCUGUGAUUGUACAUAUGCCUUCCUAUAAUGAAUUGAAAUUGAAAUGUAUAUGUUAAGUGAAAGCCUAAUGACUCAUAUUUAACUGAAGUAAAACCAUAGUGUAAAAAUAGAAAUAAAUCUCAAUCAGGAAAAUAUUCAGAGAUUUUGAAUAAAAUGAUAUGUGGGAUUUGCUUCAAAAUAAUCAAUGGAUUAAUAGGGAAGAAGAGUGCAGAGAAGUGAGCAAGGGUAUGGACGGAAUAAUAGUAACCACAGGUCAGUAAUUACUGAAGACAGCUAAUGAACACAUGGGGGCUCCUUAAGCUAUUCUCUCUACUUUAGCAUUAUGUUUGAAAUUUCCCAAAUAGGAAGUUUUUUAAAAAAGAGAUAACUUCUAAUUGAUAGCUGGCUUAGAUUCAAUUCUUCAGUGCAAAGCCAUGGAAACAGUAAAAAAAAAUUUGCUUAAAAAUUGUAUAUACACAUGCACACACACGUACAUAUAUGUACAUGUGUGCAUAUAUGUAAUUUGAAAUAUAUGUAUAUUUGUUUGUAUAUAUACACACACAUACAUAUGUGGGUGUGUAUUUGAAACAGAUUUCUACCGGUUUCUAAGCCAAGGUCUCUUACGUAACACUAUAGCAAAACUAUUAGUGUUAUAUAUUCACAUUAGAAAGUAAAGCAUACCAUCUUGGUUAUUGGUAAAUCUUGACUUAUAUAGCCUUCUAGCUCUUUAGGUUAGGUAUCUGUUUAUUAGGGGUUGGAGGAAAAGUUAAUGAUCCAUAUCCCAAACAUUGAUUUCCACUGAUCUCUACUAGCUAAGAGUAGGCAAACAUUAAAGUAUAUUUCACACCAGUGUAUGAAGGACUAAGUAAUGCCCUUUAUGAAGUCUAUUUCCCUAAGUUGGUCUAUGAUGUAAGAAAUUUCCAUGUUACACGAAGUGAACAUCUUCAGGCAGUUAGUGAAGUACAUCUGGAAAGGGCUGGCCCACUUGGGUAGGCUUGUCCUGCUUGGGAGGGAGUCUGCCUGAGGUCAGUGCCCCAAGCCAGUGGUUCACAUUCACAGUCACCUGGGGGAGCUCUGUAAUAAUGCAGAUUCCCAGCCUCUACCCAAGACUUAUUGAAUCAGAAUUUUCAGAAGUGGGAUCCACAAAUCUGUAAUUUGAAAGACUUUCACUUUUCCUCAUUUCUGAUUCUGAGUGCUUAGGAUUUCUGUUUCUGUUUUUUAAAAUGUGUGAAUACAACUGCUCACAAGGAGAGAUGGGGAGGCUCAGGCAAUGGGGAAGGGACAGAUGGGGUGCAGUGGCAGUAGACGUCUGUGUGAAUGGAUUAUUAAGGUCAAGGACUGCUUCUGGCCGAAAAAGCAGAGGAAUGAAGGGACCAACGGCUGGAGCUUUGGUUUGGUCAUAAGGCCCCUGACAAGUUUCUAAAAUAUUCUGGGUCUCAGUUACCUCAGCUGUUUAAAUGAGAGAAGGAUCUGAUCAUCUAAAGCACAUGACUGUCGUAAGGAUACAGUGAUAUAACAGACACCAAAAGCUGUUACAGGGAGAGGUGUAAGUUGAGAGUUUGGCCAUAGAGACUGAGAAGUCCUGUAAGUGUCAGCCCACCUCUAAUGUGACCAUCUGCUUGGCCAUAGCUCUCUCCACUGCUUCGUACAUCUGUGUGUUCUGGAUCCCCAAGCCACAAAAGAUGACAAAAGCUUCCAGAAACUGUUCAUCAUUUCGGUUGAAAGGCUUAAUUUUGCCAGUGGUCUCCUCCAUCUUAUUAACAAGUUGGCAAACCCCUGUAAGAACCCAAGAAAUCAAGCAAAUGUUACUAUUCAUCAUCACAGCUCUCACUGACUUUAAGACCCCCCCCCACAAGACUGUCUCACACUUUUCUCUUAGGAAUGCUUGGUAUCUCCAAAUAAGUAAACGAAUCCUCACAAAUAUAAGCUAGAAAAGUCAUCUGAAUCAAUUUACAUGAGAACUUGUUUCACAUAGCCCUAAAUGUAUGUUGUCUGUGUUCAAAAAAUCCUAGAGUACUAUUUUCUUCCAGACUCGGUCGCGAAUUUCAGAUCAGCUGAGUCCCCAAAGACAAUUUGUCCUUUGGAAACUAAUUGGAUUUUUGUACAUUUGCCAAGAGAGCAAUUUUGAUGCACAUCAGAAUUUUGGGUCACACAGACUGCCUUUCCUUACUGAGAAACCAGAAGUUAAAUAACACAAUUACAUACAAAAUAGAAUGGAUGAAACAGACAAUUUACAUAGACAGUCUAAAGUUUCAAAUAUGCACCUCUGCAUCCAGGAGAAUCAUAUUUCCAAUCAUUUUUGAUACUACAGAUAAAUGCACAUAGAAAUGUUUGUUUAGUUAGAAAUAAAAGCAGAACUAAUCUUUGGAGACAAUCGUAACCUAACCUCCCAAAUCCUGGCCUUUCUUAGAAAGUCAAACACGUAGUUGAUAUGAAUGGAAGAUUACAUCAAAUCUUUAUUGAACUAGUUGUUCUAUGGGACUCUGAGGCUAGUGGUCUCUGUGAGGAGUUUGAUGACCUUCUACCUCUGGGUAACACACUGUUGUUAAAGUCCUCAUCUCUUCUGUCUCUGCAUAUGUAAUAUAGACUUCCAUCAUGUGCAUGUAGGUACAGUGCUUUAAUACACACAUGAACUCUAGUCUGCACAGUUUAUACUGUGAGAAAGGUGUGCCCAUGCCCAUUUUACAGAUGAAGAAACUGAGUCUCAGGAAGGUUAAGUCAUAUGCUCCAGGUCACUUAGCUAGUAUGCUUAUGUCUAAAAUUGAAACCCCAGCUCAGCCUAGCCCCAAAGGCUAGUUUAUUACCACAUUGCUGCUCUGUGCCUUUUCACCCCCGUCAGAUCAUUGCUAGCAGUUCCCUGACUGCAUUUUGCUUGCCCACACCUUUGCCUAUGCUUUUCCGCUGGCCUAUACUGCUCCCCACUGCUCUCUUUCCUGUUGUCCAAUAGAUCCCUACACAGCUCUCUUUCCUGUUGUCCAAUAGAGCCCUUCACAGCGAGCUCCCACAGGCCUCCCACUUCCCGGGUGAGGCAGGCACUUCUCCUUUCUAUCUCCUUAACUUUAUCAUUUGGAGUAUCAUGGGGGAUUUUAUUUCUGUCUUUCUUUCUGGACGUACAUAUCUUGGGCUUAGAGAUUUUAUUUUUUCAGUUCUACUUCCUCAGCCAGCAAUGCCUGGCAUAUAGCAGGACUCAAAAAAUGUUUACUGAGUUAAUGAAAGAAUGAAGGAUUGCGGCUCUGACCCAGACCACUUUCCCAUGAAGUCUAUAUUCUGUUAUAUCUUAUUUUUCCUGGAGCACAAAAGGAUUUUAUAGCGUCCGUGAUGAUGCAUGGUUGCACAUGAAAUCCCUUUAUUACCACUGGUGUGCACUUUAUCUUUAACCCUACAAAUUAUCUGUUUUCUCAUGUUGCUCUUUUUUGUUUGUGGGAGUUUUUCUACUUUAGACAGUAAAGGCAUCCUUAUCUAUCUGUAUUAGUACGGCAGAGAUUACUUCUCUAACACAUUCCAUUAUCAAGAAAAAUUUUAAACAAGACAUAAUGAAUCUGGACACUGCAAGUAAAAACUGUGAGUAAAUAUGGCAACCGGUAUUCAUUAUCUUAAAAGACCAUGUCCCAUGUACGGUAAAAAAGCCUGGGUUAUAUCCUCCAACCUUUGUGAAUCCCCAAAUUAUAAAUAUGGAACUGUUUAUAUAGGCUUCUGGCUAUCUCCCAAAUCACAUUUUCUUGAGGGUCACGCAUUCUGUGCCUUAUCCUCACAUCACAAUGUGACUGCCUUUCAAUUUUUACUAAAGUUUUCUCCUAGUUGAUGGCCAUUUUUCAUAACCGAGAUUUUUCUUUUUGUCACUGCAUAAGAUUGAUUGCAUGUAUGGGAAGGAAAAGACAACCCGGAGGGGUUGAGACGUGGCCAUCAGGCAGUCUGCUGGGCCUGGGACCGAGAAAUUCCUCAAUGUUUCUGGUCCAAUAAAGACUGAGCACUUCAUCCAUGAGAGGCACCCUUAGCAUCAUGGGGAGACAAACUUCUAGAGGUCAGUAGCUGUCAUAAGGCACUUGUAAUCUCGUAGAGGACUGUGACAGAGAAUGAAUAAUAAUACAGUGUCUAGUUGCAUGUCCUCUUUGAGCAGAGUCUAGUGCAGAAGCCCCCAGCUGUCCCUCAGUAACUCUUCUCCCUUUCUCUUUAUCUAGACACAUGGCCGCUGAGGAUAAAGACUACAUUUAUCAGCCACCCCAGUGGCUUGGGAUCAUCAUGUGACGAUGUAAGUUCUAGGCAACAGGAAAUGUGACUGCUUCUAGAAAGCUUACCUAAAAGGCAGCUGAGGCAUGCUCUCUGCCCCUUCUUUCCCUGCCCCCCAUCCUACCAUUUGAAACGUGGAUAUGAAGGCUGGAGCUGCAUCCUGGACCCUGGAAGGGAAGGGCCACUCCCUAGAGAUGCAGAGUAGAAAGCCUGCAGGUACCUGGGUCCCUGAGGCCUUUGUAGAACAGAACAGCAACACAGAGCCUGAGCUGCCUGCCUCUGGGUCUUUACAGGAGAGAGUAAUAAUAUUGCAUUCUUAUUUAAGCUAUUUUUACUUUGGGUUUUUAUGAUUCACACUCAAACCUAAUCCUGACUAAUACAAUUGGUAACAAUGAAAGCACCACAUGUGGAGAAGAUGGACAGAUAACUCCUUGGUGGAGUGGGUUGGAGAAGACGGGGUAUUAGGGAAAUGCGCAAAAGGCUGGUAAGAUUUAAGGAUGCAUAGAAAGACGUCAAGAAUGAAAAGAAGGGUGAAAAACAGUAUAAAAACAUUGCUGAAAUGGAAGAGUUCUAGGUAUAUUUGGGAAACAUUAAACAGCUACAGAUUGUUAGGAAUAAAGUGAUGGUUUCAGGCUGAAGAUGUUAGGACAGGUAGUGGAUGAUUUUGAAAGUGCAAUGCAAAGGGAUAGGAUCUUCCUUUAAAUAACAGGAAUAUUCUGGUAGUCUUGCAAAUGUGCCUCUCAGACCUACAACUGCAGGAGACCUAAAUGACCAGUGUCUCUAGUCACUGUGCUCUGAAACCCAGGACUGUGUUUGUACUGCAGACACACUUCCCAGGGCUGCUCCUGGAAAAAGAUGGAGCACACACAGCAGGGGCACUAAAGUAGCCCAGGCUUGGGAGACCCAGGAUGCUUUGGCUACAGAACUCCCCAACAGCCUGGCCAAACUUUCCUUAGAACUGCUCGGCUGCCUAAGACACUUCCACACAAUGCUCUUUCCUUCUUUACCCUCUCUUUCACUCUGGGUCAGACUUGUGUGGGGAGCUCACGGCUCUCUCAUCCCCUCCCAGUUCCCUCCCCCUUUACUCUCACAUGGGGUUCCCCUAAUAAAUGUCUUACACAUUUAAUCUAGUCUUGGCAUCUGCUUCUUGGAAGGCCUGGGCUAACUCAGACCUCUAAGGUUUUUUGCACAGUGGAUAUCGAGGGAGGUGUACGUGAGUACAUCCUUGGGAAGACAGUCAGGGACACGAAGCUUGGAAACACUGAGAAACUUCUGUGCUUUUAGAUGUAAAUGGGAAUCACUUCAGGUUAUGUGAACCAAAGACAGAAAUAACACAUCAAAGAGACACAGAAAUACUAACACUUACUGACUACUUACUAUGUGCUGGAAAUUUUCUGAAGCAUUUUAUGUGCAUUAACUCAUUUGGUCCUUUCUACAAUCCUGCCAUCAGUAUCUCCAUUUUACAGAUGAAGAAACUGAGGCUUUGAGAGGUUAAAUAAUUCACACAAAGCACUAUAGCUAGUAAGUGGUGGAACUUAAGUUUAAAUACAAUCAGUCUGAUUUCAGAGUCUAUACUCUUACACUCUGUAUCUACGAUUUUUUAAAGUAGUAAAAACCUUUCUACUAUUUUAAAAAUAGUGGGUGUUACUGUAUUUAACUAUAAUUGUUUUCCAAUAUCGUUAUAACUAAUAAGUAUUAACUGGUAUAUGUAUUCCAAGAAAGUGAAUUUAAAGGAGUAAUUCUAUGUAUUUGUCAUUUUAUGACAAAAUGUGCAUUUAAAAUUAACAUGAAGUUAACUGAUAUGGAAUUAUAGCACUAAAAUACCUAUUUCUUAAAAUUAAGAGCUAACAUAAACUGUACCCCAUCACACUCACUUUUUCCUUUGAAUCGAAGCAUAGAAACUCUAAAACCUCCCACCAUCUGGAAAUGAGCUUCCCUUCUGAAUUCCUGGGUGACCCAAACUCCAACAGUUUACUGUGCUUUAUCCCAGUGAUGAUAUGAUUCUAACAAUUAUGUGUAAUGUUUACCCUGAAUAUUUUUUAUUUUUACACUUAACAUUUCAAAAUAUUAAGUGUAAACAGUUCUUUCAAAACUGUCUUCAAUACAUUAUUUUAAUUUAUAAAAGGCAAUUAGUGGGUUGGCUGGAAAAGUACCUCACUGAUACAUAACUGCCUAAAAAGGAUGAUUUGCUUACUGCUAACAUCAUCAAAUUGCCUAGCACUUCAUCUCAUGGAAGAGUGCUUGGAUUGACAAAGUGUUUAAUAGUGAGAAUUGGAGAGGCCUAAAUUCUAUCAAUAAGCAAUUUUAGAAACAUAAUACAGAAUCUGCUGGUCAAGUGUCAAUACCAGUUAGUCCUUCAAAAAGCUGAAGUUACUAAACACCAUUUUAAUUCGGAGUUUUCACAAAAUUAAGACUGAAAUCUAAUUUUAUUAAAAUAAAACCAUAUUUACAUCACUAAGAGGACUUUUAUUGCGUCAUUAUAAUAAAGGCUAACUAUUAGCUAAUGUAAGGCACUGGUGUUGAAUAAUUUUCAUUACUGUAAAAUCAGUUAAUGAAUCAGUUUAAAUGAUCCAUGUAAAUUAGUCUCUUUUAAGGUAACCACACUGACCUAUUUAUCCUUUAUAAAACAAUCUUUAUACUAAGACUGUCUUGGUAUAAUUUUUAAAAGUGGAAAGAUAUCUUCCAUUUUUCCUACAGAGAAGGAACGUGAUAUUCAUCAGAAACAAAGUAAAAGUGCUAACAAAAGAUCAAGAUGAAAUAAAUAA